Molecule: long non-coding RNA, 3249 nt
Filed under: Homo sapiens (human)
Lineage: Eukaryota; Metazoa; Chordata; Mammalia; Primates; Hominidae
Description: HSALNT0165039
Source: RNAcentral
GUGAAAAGGAACUCGGCGUUAGGGGGUGAGUAAGUGAAUCAACUCGCCCGGAGCCGAGCAAGUUGAAGUGUCAGAUUACAUUGGCUAUUCUAUUUCCAAAGGGCCCCGCGCCGCCGGCCGCCCGCAAAAGCCGGUGCGGAGUCAGGCCGGAGUGGAGCGCCGCGCCGCGCCGCCGCCGCUGCCGGCGCUCGGCUUGGCUCGCGCUCUGCGCUCUCUUUCCCCUUUCCUUUUCGCCUCUCCUCGUUCUCUCCCUCGCCUUUCCUUUCCUUUCUCUUCCUCUCUUCCUCGCUCCUCGGUCUCGGCGCUCUCCCAGCUUUUCUUCUCCUGGCUCCUGGUUCCCCGCUACGCCACCAGUCCACUCACCUCUCUCCUUGCCCUACUCCCUCCGCUACUCCCUGACGCCCCCUGCAGCCCCCAGCCCCCCUGCAGGCCCCAGCCCCAGUAAGUUUGGAGAGGGGAACAAAUGCUGAGCCUAGGUAGGGACCACCUUGGGGAGGAAGCCAAAAUCACACUGCUCACCCGAGAGCCCCUGCCCCGCGCUGGCACGCCCCCGCCUGGAGUGCACUCGUGGCCCCGGGCGCUGUCAGGUACCCGAAUUGGGGCUGCCACCGUGUCGGAGGCGAGGCGAGGAAGGGAGCUGGAAUAACAAAGGGAGGUAAUGGGGUAGAUUGGAUACCUCUGGGGUCUUGGAAGAAGCUAUGACUUAUUUACUGUCUACUAUGUGGCCCUGACAUUCUCCAGCUUUCAUGGUGUUCCUGCAAUCCAAGUGCCGCUUAUCUCUCUACAGGGCUGGAAGAAAGCCAUACUUCUGACUCCAGGAAGUGCUUUGGUGGAGCUGGACCGGCUUCUGAGCUGUCUGUGGCGUGAGGCUGGGAUAAGUGUUUGGUCACCUGGGAUGGGGAGCCACUGGCCUGAGGUGACACAGACAAAGGGGAGCCAGGAGAACCUGUCCUGGCUCACUGUGGAGCACCCCGACCCUGCUCCCCUGCAGCAGGCUCAGCUAUAAGGCAUUGCCAGCCUAGCCCCGCGGUUUCUUUUGCUGGGAUAAAUUCAGUGGAAGGAGCUGUGUAAAGGCACAGGCCCUGCCCCACAGAGAAUCCUUGUCACUUACAUGCUCCAAGAGGUCUCAGAACUAGGGGACUUCCUCCCCUCCCUCCUCCUUGUCUGGAGCUGGCAUUAGGCCCCACAUCUUCCAGACCCAAGAAGGGCAUUUACUCCAGGAGAUGGCUGGGCAGACCCUCAGUAGGUAUUCCACGAAAGUGUUCAUGGCUUAAACCCAACACUUGAUUUCUCCCUGAGCCAGUCUCUGUGAAUGUCCUCACCAUCGUCCUGUGUCACUCCUGGCCUCCUGCUAACAACCAAAUCUAUUGACUCUCCAGAUCCCCAAUGUCUCCAUGUCACACUACUUCCAUUGCCACCAUUCCUGUCUGUAUCCUUGUCUUAGGUCCACCAGAUGACCGGCUGGCCUCCUAAUUGGGCUUCCUGCAUUCCUGCCUGUGCUCGGAGCUCCCUUCUCCACUUGCCUGCUGGAGGAGGUUUACAAACAAAAUCAGAUCAUGGCACUCCCCUGGGGCCCUGCAUCCUGUGGCCAGCAGGUCUUGGAAACGCCCCUGUACCCCAGAAACUUCCUGAUCAGUCCCUGGUCAGUGUAUAUCAUGCUUCCUGUGACAUGACAUCAACUUUUCAGUGACUUCCACUGGUUUUGGCCCAGCUCGAAGAGCCUGACACCUCUGCAGGGAAUUCUACCAGGGAGCUCAGGAGGGGGAAUUGCACUGAAGAUUUGUCCCAUCGUGAAGCAAGAGCACUGGAACUUACACUCCACCAUCAGGCCCUGUCACAGGAGAACAAAGAAGGAAGGCAGAGGAGAUCAUGCUCCGGCCAGCAGGGAAUCUCCAUUUUUUUCAGCCUCAUACCUUGGAAAGUACAAAGGAGUGAGAGCUGGGACUACCAGCCAGAGGGUUCAUGGAGGUAGUGGGAGGGGAAGAUGGGUUCUGCAUGGAGCCACUCCAGGGACUUUUCUUCUGUCUCACAGCCUGACAAUCACCUCUAGCUGUUCUCAGUCCCAUUCUCAUCAAUGACCUCGUCUCCUGAUUUUGUACAAUAUCUAGGUGACCUUCUCUUCUUUCCAUCUUCAAACGCUUGAUCAUUGAUGCUCCCUUUUCUCUUCUCUCUCCUCCUGGGAAAAGAGAAGGACCAACAUCCCCCUUUCCCUUCCUCCUGUGCUGUCCCGACCCCUCUGAGACCUGGCUCUAGCAGUAAGUCCCUCUCUCUUCUGCAGCACCAGCCUCUGCCCAUCCCUGCCCUCUGCACACAAAGCUCUCACAUUGUCUGCACUUUAAGAACUUUUGUGGCAAACCCUGGCAAAUCCUGCCACUUGUUUCCACUCUUCUCAAAUGGCUUUGAGGUCAUCAUUGACCUAUCCCAUUUGACCCUGUCCUGUAUCUGAUGUUGUACCCUUUCUCCUUGAUCCCACUCUGGCAACUCUCCCACUCCCCUUUCUUGGAUCAACUGUCUUGCUCCUCAGUCUUGAUCAAUGCCUCCUUCUCUCUCUUUAGCCUUGGCCCUUUUUGGCCAGGGAAAUAAAUGUGAAAUACAUAAAGCUUCAUUUUAUCUUAUGAUUAUAGCUAUGUUGAUGUUACCCAAGACCUAAAAGUCACACUCUCUAAUUACACUUCCCUCCUGUGUUCUGGGUCCUCUUGGACCAGUCCUUACUCUGGCUCCCCUCCUGGAUGUCUCCCAGACUUCUAAUUAGAAUUACUGUUUCCUAUAUCAAGCUAAUUAUCUUUCCCACCAACCUCCUCCAUCCUUGGGUGAAAGCAUCACUUGGUUGCAAAAGUCAGAAAUCUGGGUUUCAUUCUUGCGGUAGGUAGAAUAAUGCCCCCAGGCCCCAGGUUUUGACAUCCGAAUCCCUGGGACUUUGCAGAUGUGAUUCAGUUUAGGAUUUUGAGAUGGGGAGAUUAUCUGGGAGAGCCUGAUGUCAUCAUAAGGUUCUUAUAAGAGGGAGGCAGGAGGGUUAGAGUGAGUAGUAAGAGAUGCAACAGUGGAAGCAAGAGGUUGGGGUGAUGUGGCCACAAGCCCAGGAGUGCUGACAGACAUCAGAAGCUGGAAGGGACAAGGAAUGGUUUCUCCUCUGGAGCCUCCAGAAAGAACCAGCCCUGCUGACACCUUGAUUUUAGCCUUGGAAGACUCAUUUUGGACUUCUGACCUUGAACGUUGUAAGAGAAUAAAUUUACAUAUUUUAAACUGGUA